Molecule: ribosomal RNA, 397 nt
Filed under: uncultured bacterium
Lineage: Bacteria
Description: partial 16S ribosomal RNA
Rfam family: Bacterial small subunit ribosomal RNA
Source: RNAcentral
AUACGUAGGGGGCGAGCGUUGUCCGGAAUGAUUGGGCGUAAAGGGCGCGUAGGCGGCCCGGUAAGUCUGGAGUGAAAGUCCUGUUUUUAAGAUGGGAAUUGCUUUGGAUACUGUCGGGCUUGAGUGCAGGAGAGGUAAGUGGAAUUCCCAGUGUAGCGGUGAAAUGUGUAGAGAUUGGGAGGAACACCAGUGGCGAAGGCGACUUACUGGACUGUAACUGACGCUGAGGCGCGAAAGUGUGGGGAGCAAACAGGAUUAGAUACCCUGGUAGUCCACACUGUAAACGAUGAAUGCUAGGUGUAGGGGGUAUCGACCCCUUCUGUGCCGCAGUCAACACAGUAAGCAUUCCGCCUGGGGAGUACGGCCGCAAGGUUGAAACUCAAAUGAAUUGACGGGG